GUUUAUGUUUCUAACAUUAGAUUCUUCAUGCUGAUGGCAGUACUGCAGUAGAGUUGGAGCAGACCUCCUGUUGAAGAGCAUCUCCAAUGUGCUAUGAACCAUCUGACUAGAAAAAGGCCAUCUCGUUUAACUCACUGAGGACACUUGGUAUACAGCAACCUACAGAGGGGCCCAACGGCAGUUUGUGAAGACAGACAAACAAGAGAUGCUGUGUCAACCUGGACAGAAGUCAGUUUCAGAUCCACCUUCCACACCAGACGUCUCAUAUGGAUUUCUGUCUACUAGCAUAUUAUUUGUUCUCCUCAGAAUUUAGUGCAUGCAGACAUUACUCAGGAACAUGAACACAAAUAUUGCAAGAAUAGGGAAUGUGCCGUAUUUCAGAUAUGAAGGUUAAUUGCUCUUAAGCAUUAAAAAAAAUAUUGUUACUGUUGUUGUUUUUUCCCAAAGCACCUAUAAGCCAAUUCACACUGGAUCUCAUGAGUCAGAGUUGAAAACCCCUGGUUUAGAUAAUUCACUUCUUUACAAUCUUGUUUCUUUUUGCGGUUGUACUGAAUUCUGUGACCCACCUAAUUUUGUGAACCUAGGCACCUACUACUAAACCUGACCCUCUAGUCCUACCAUUUUUUGCCAUACUGAUUACCAUUUGUAUAACCAUAGUUAAAACUAUGUUUUUGUAGCAAAAUUUGUGGUUACCACAAAUUAUUUCAAAUGUUUCUAAACUACCCUCGGCAGUAGAGUCAUAUAAUUUGGUGGGUCACAGAAUUCAGCAACUGAAUGAAUCAGCACUAAAAGAAUGGUUUUCUAUCUAAGUCAUUAAGACGGUAUCUUGCUGCCACCAGGUGGCAUAACAAUGUAACUUACAAUUAAAGCACUGAAUAAUCGCUACCUACAUACAUUUUUCAAAAUCUCAGGUAUUCCAGUAUUAUAAAAUAUUAUUAAUUGAACAACAAUAGCCAUUAUAAACUGUAUGUAUUAUAUAUUAUUUGAACAAGUUCUAAAUUGGAUGCCACAUACCUGUAAUUUGUGCUAAUAAAUCUCUAACGAUAUAAUCAUUAGUUUUAGUGCAAACGAGUAAUAAGA
Labeo rohita (rohu) is the source of this 1080-nucleotide long non-coding RNA. RefSeq lists it as uncharacterized. The record is from RefSeq and is a predicted model, not a curated record. Lineage: Eukaryota; Metazoa; Chordata; Actinopteri; Cypriniformes; Cyprinidae. The transcript is spliced from 3 exons.